Molecule: long non-coding RNA, 3093 nt
Organism: Lemur catta (Ring-tailed lemur)
Lineage: Eukaryota; Metazoa; Chordata; Mammalia; Primates; Lemuridae
Exons: 7
Source: RefSeq, a predicted model, not a curated record
UCGCGGGAGGUGUGCGCGCUCCAGAGCGCACCACCGGAGCCGCUCCCCGCAGGGAUGGCGGGGCCUGGGAGCUCGGAGGCCAUUCUACGUCCGGGCUCGGUCGCUCUCCAGCUGCAGGAGGCGCGCAGGGCCUGCGGCCCAGGGAAUUGUCUGCAGCGGCAGGUUCGAGUGCAGUAGUAAGUUCAUAGCUCACUGCAGCCUCAAACUCCUGGACUCAAGAGGUCACAUGGAAAAAGACAAAUGAGGAUGCCCCUAAUUAGAAUGGAUUCCCAGGAAGCAGACGAUCAGGGAGCAAUUACACCUAUAAGCUGUAGAUAUUUACCCUGUGAAGCAGAUACUAUUAUUACUCCCUUUUUACAACGGAGGAAGCAGAGGUUCCAAGAGCCCCCCAGACGAGUGAUGUAAGAGCCCCAGAAGGUCGUGUGCCAGGUAGAACUUUAGCUGUUUUGUCUUUGGAUCAGUCCCAGUUGUCUCCUAAGUGAGGACUGAGAACAGCUGGAGCAGCUGGCUUCACAUUGCAAGGGCAGAAACUCAACUCCAACUGACUGAAAGAAAUGAUUGGUACACGUGCCUGAGAAGCGUGGAGAUGGGAGGGCUAGCUUCGGGAAAGAGAUUUGAUUCGGCAACUCACAUACCACCAAAGACUCAGUUUCCUCUGUUCUGCCUCUCACGAUGGUAACUUUGUUUUAAGUCUGUCUCCCUUUGUGGGCCCAGGUGGCCACUUGUGCUCCUGGGGAUUCAGCCUCACAAGUUCACAUCCCACAGGAAUGAGAGAGUCAGCUUCUCCAUUCCUCAAACAGUCCUGGAACUGAGUCUUGUUGGACCUGACUGGCUGGGGGCCAGGGUUGUGGGCCCCUCCUUGGCCAAGCUACAGUGAGCUGCGAUGAUGCCACUGCACAGAGUGGCAACAGAAUGGGGAAACUGAAGCACGGAGUGAGGUUAAGGAAACUGCCCAAGGAAGCACAGCAUUAAGUGGCAGACCUGGGACGGUGCCCAGCAGCAGUGUGGCUCCAGGGGCUGCAGGCUUAACUGCUGUGCCACACCGCCCUCAGAAGUGAAUGUCAAAAGCCUAAAUUUGAGGCCUUUGUGACCUGAGGCCCUGGACAAAGAGGCCUCUCUGCUCUCUCCCUGCGGCUGACCCCGUUUCCUGGGGGACCCAAAACAGCCGAACUCUUCCAAGGCGUGAAGAGCCGAGCAAGGACGGAGAACCAGGACCCAGAGAGAAGAGGUGAGCAGGGCGGAGAGGCCCUGCCUGCUCCCUGCAGAGCUGUGUUUUCCUCGGGCAGGAACACAUGUUCCCGUUACCGGAGUCCGAGGCCUGGGGAGGGCCCCUCUUCCAGGCUGGCCCUGUCCCUACCCCCUGGGGCUGUCAGGAGGCCUGGCACAGGCCCAGUCCUGCCGUCCAUCCACCAGAAAGGCGGCUUCCUGGAAGCUCAUCCCCUCCCUCUCCGCCCCAUCCUAGGCCACUGUGUUCCUGGAAGUUAAAGACACCGGGCCACGGUGCUGACCGCGCCAGCCAGAGCAGGAGACCUUUCUUUGGCUCUCACCACCCACAGGAGAGGAGAACAUAAGGGCUCGGUGCUGCUGGCACAUAGGACUUGAGUGUCACUCCGCUGCUCACUUGCUGUGUGGCCUGGGGCAAGUUACUUGACCUCUCAUGAGCCUCAGUUUCCCCAUUUAUAAAAUGGAGAUACUAAAAGUACCUGAAGGGCUGGCUGUAGCAUUAAAUGCAACAAUGUGGCUGACGCAUUUGGAACCACGUCCUGGCCCCCUAAUGCACUCAAAACAGGGUAGCUGUGGCUGCUAUUAUUAUCCUGCCAUCCUCAUUCUCUUUAGGGGCACUGAGGGCUUGGAGAGAUUUCUGAGCAGGCAUGCGGAUGUCCUGGCUGCUACUAUAGGGAAUGCUUUUCUUAUCAGCACAGACGUCAGAGUCGAGUUAUUAAUACCCAACCAGCCCCUCCAGUUUUGGAUUUAGCAUUCCGAAGAUGAGAUGGAGAGGUGGGGAGAAUGGGGCUGGGAACAGGUGGCCAGGGACGGGGAAGGAGCCGCUGGCCUCCCCCGCAGUGGGAGCAAUCCUUCCCAGCCUCCGCAGGCGGCACUUGGCCCCUUCUCUGGCCAGACACCCUCCACCUGCAGUCUAGGUCUGGGAAGGUGUGAAAUUCCUACAUGAAGUCAAACGCCAGGCUGUCAUCUCCUCAGUCCCCUAUGGGCACAGCACUGUCCUUCCAGGGAUCCGGUGCCCAAGAGAGCAGGGCCCUCCUGGGCCCCCAGAAGGACCAAAUCCAUGCAUGGAAUCGUGGACUCAAUGUUAGAAGGGGCUCAGAGAGCCCCAACCUGGCUUAGUGGUUUGGACUCAGCCUCUGGACUCAGAACUGAGUGGCCAGAAAAAUCUAUAUCCUUCAACAGCCUCAGCUUCCUCAGCUGUUACCUGGGAAUAAUAGUAAUAAGUUUGAACCUUUCACAUAAUAUCAACGUUUUCAUUUGGCUGUUAUACGAAGCACAGGGACCAGCAUGCAGAAAGUGUCCAGCAAUUAGUGUGUGUUGGUGGUCCAGCCUCUCAUCUUACACACGACUUCCACUUUGUUCCUUCCCCAAUGGGUGGUGGCAGACCUUAAGGAACAAAGAUCUUCCAAGAAUUUCCCUUUCCUCCUCCUGAGCUCACAAUUAUACCAAACAAUGCUGUUUUGGUUUUUUAUAUUGAUUUUUAAAAAAUUAAGUCUUUAAUUUUUAGAGCAGCAAAAUUGAGAGGAAGGUACAGAAAUAGACCGUAUACCCCUGGCCCCCACGCAUGCACAGCCUCCUCUGUUACCAACGUCCCCCACCAGAGUGGUACCUUUGUUACACUGGAUGAAGCUAUGUGGACACAUCAUUAUCACCCAGGCCUGUCGUUUACAUUAGUGUUCACCCUUAGUGUUGUACAUUCUUGUUGGACAAAUGUAUAGUGACUUGUAUCCACCAUUAUAGUAUCAUACAAAGUACAUUCACUGCCCUAAAAAUCAUCCUCAGUGCUAUGCCUGUUCAUCCCUUCCUCCCUGGGACCCCUGGCAACCACUAAUUGUUUAUUGUCUUUAUAGUUUUGCCUUUUCUAGAAUG